RNAcentral lists this ribosomal RNA (489 nucleotides) under uncultured bacterium. RNAcentral describes it as "bacterial SSU rRNA". It matches the Rfam family "Bacterial small subunit ribosomal RNA", at positions 28 to 513 of the family's 1533-position model. The record is from RNAcentral.
GAUGAACGCUAGCGGCAGGCCUAACACAUGCAAGUCGAGGGGUAGAGUUCUUCGGAACUUGAGACCGGCGCACGGGUGCGUAACGCGUAUGCAAUCUACCUUAUACAGGGGAAUAGCCCAGAGAAAUUUGGAUUAAUGCCCCAUAGUAUUAUUGAAUGGCAUCAUUUGAUAAUUAAAGUUCCAACGGUAUAAGAUGAGCAUGCGUCCCAUUAGUUAGUUGGUAAGGUAACGGCUUACCAAGACAAUGAUGGGUAGGGGUCCUGAGAGGGAGAUCCCCCACACUGGUACUGAGACACGGACCAGACUCCUACGGGAGGCAGCAGUGAGGAAUAUUGGUCAAUGGGCGCAAGCCUGAACCAGCCAUGCCGCGUGCAGGAAGAAGCAUCUAUGGUGUGUAAACUGCUUUUGUACAGAACGAAAAGGUCUCUAUUAAUACUAGGGCUCAUGACGGUACUGUAAGAAUAAGCACCGGCUAACUACGUGCCAGCA